AUGAACGCUGGCGGCGUGCCUAAUACAUGCCAGUCGAGCGAACGGACGAGAAGCUUGCUUCUCUGAUGUUAGCGGCGGACGGGUGAGUAACACGUGGAUAACCUACCUAUAAGACUGGGAUAACUUCGGGAAACCGGAGCUAAUACCGGAUAAUAUUUUGAACCGCAUGGUUCAAAAGUGAAAGACGGUCUUGCUGUCACUUAUAGAUGGAUCCGCGCUGCAUUAGCUAGUUGGUAAGGUAACGGCUUACCAAGGCAACGAUGCAUAGCCGACCUGAGAGGGGGAUCGGCCACACUGGAACUGAGACACGGUCCAGACUCCUACGGGAGGCAGCAGUAGGGAAUCUUCCGCAAUGGGCGAAAGCCUGACGGAGCAACGCCGCGUGAGUGAUGAAGGUCUUCGGAUCGUAAAACUCUGUUAUUAGGGAAGAACAUAUGUGUAAGUAACUGUGCACAUCUUGACGGUACCUAAUCAGAAAGCCACGGCUAACUACGUG
RNAcentral lists this ribosomal RNA (496 nucleotides) under uncultured bacterium. Its description in RNAcentral is "partial 16S ribosomal RNA". It matches the Rfam family "Bacterial small subunit ribosomal RNA", at positions 29 to 507 of the family's 1533-position model. The record is from RNAcentral.